GAGGAAGCUGGCUUGUGUCUCCUAUAUGAUUUUCCCUAAUUCUACAGGCACAGUCAGAGUGGAGAGGGUGGUAGAUCAGAGAAUAUUCUCUUCUCAAUCGCCUUCACUAUGUUCAGCAAUUACCACAAGCCUAAUCCUCGCCAACCCACAUGCAGCCAUGAGAGAGACCUGGGGAAGAACCCUAGCUUUUGAAGAUGGGUGGUGUAGAGCAAAGCAGCAAAGCAGAGGCAGUGAAUGGAAUGAUGCAUGGAGUGUGCCAAAUGACAACAUCGACAACAGGGACCUCCAUUUGGGAGCUGCUUGAAUUAUUCUGCUUCAUAUUCAUUUCACACAAAGCAACACAGACUAAGGUUCACCAGGGAGGGAUAGCAGUGUCAAGAGGUGCAAUCAAUGAACAAUACAAGGCAAGCUGGGUCAGAGCAGCAGAUACUCCAGAAGCUCCACUCAGGCAGCACUUCAAAUGGCUCCACUUACCAAACACCCUGCAAAGUGUACAGUAGCAUCACUAACUAAGACAUGUGAGGCACUGCCCCCAGUCUUCUCCAUCUUUUCAUCCUGCUGAAAGACAAGCCACUCCAUGUCCCUGCUGAUGUGACAUUUGUGCACAUUUUCACCGAGAUGCUUUUCCCUUGUAAUUUAGCUCUGAAUUCCCACCACAGAAAUAGAAGUCAGACAACACUUUCAUUCAAAUAAGAUGACCAAAGCUACUGCUUCUAUGUGCAACUGGCAUAUACCAUAUGAUUCACGGUAGUGGAAUGGAGAGGGAAUAUUUACCACACACAUUAAUCUCUCUCAGCUGACCGCUCAGACAUGCAGGUUGGAGCUUAACAUGUCAAAGCUUGGAGUUGUGACGCCAAGCUAAAAUAGCAUUAUAGACCUCUCACCUACAAAAUGUCUCCAGGCCUCUCACCCUAAUAUACCUCACUCUCAAACAAGCCAGGGCCUCUCCCCAGCAUGCCUUCACUAGUGCCUCCACACCCACAAUGAAGUGCUAAUAGAGCAUUAGGGAGUUCACUGGAGCGCUGUUUACAGGUGGGUAUUUAUAGUUGGCAGAGUGGCACAUUGACGUCAGAGUUAAUGCCAUGUGUUGCAGGCAGGCAGGGAUCCAUCUUGCAUGUGCAACCUUUUACUGCCUCACUAAGGCUGAUUGAUGACAAGCCACCCACUACACCAUCCACAACUGUCUGCUGAAGACUCUGUCUAAUUGUAUUAGAACUGCGUGUAGCAGAGAAAGAGAGAGAGAGAGAGAGAGAGAGAGAGAGAGAGAGCUAGCUAUUGUAUGCAUUACAGAGAUUUUAAGCACCAUUCAUUUUUUACAUUCUCACAAAAGAGUCUGUUAUUUCCUUUCAGCCAUAUAAUGGAGGUCUAGGUUAACAUUUGGAAUUGAAUUAUCACAUUGGCUAAACAGUUAUGGCUAUGGAUAGACUGUCCUGGAUAAUACAUUGUAAUGGAAGCUGUGUAUAAAAGCCGAUAUUAUAUUGCUUUAAUUAAAUGUGUUAAAAUGCAUACCCUUAAUUGUCUCAACCAGACAAUUAAGCCUCAAUCAAGAGCAUAGCUGUAAUUGUUCUAUGUAAGGCCAUGUAAUGUCACUGUCUACACUGCCACAGAGAGAUUAAGAGAUUGCUUUGAAACUCUGUAAAUGCAAAAAUUUAAUA
Long non-coding RNA from Electrophorus electricus (electric eel), 1655 nucleotides. RefSeq lists it as uncharacterized. NCBI's taxonomy places the organism in Eukaryota, Metazoa, Chordata, Actinopteri, Gymnotiformes, Gymnotidae. The record is from RefSeq and is a predicted model, not a curated record.